GGACGAACGCUGGCGGCGUGCUUAACACAUGCAAGUCGAGCGGUAAAGGCCCUUUACGGGGGGUACACCGAGCGGCGAACGGGUGAGUAACACGUGGGUGACCUGCCCUCACGCUCUGGGGAUAAGCCUGGGAAACCGGGUCUAAUACCGGAUAUGACUCCAUGACGCAGUGUUGUGGGGUGAAAGCCUUGUGCGGCUGAGGAUGGG
RNAcentral lists this ribosomal RNA (207 nucleotides) under uncultured bacterium. Its description in RNAcentral is "partial 16S ribosomal RNA". It matches the Rfam family "Bacterial small subunit ribosomal RNA", at positions 27 to 229 of the family's 1533-position model. The record is from RNAcentral.